Molecule: long non-coding RNA, 212 nt
Organism: Dermacentor silvarum
Lineage: Eukaryota; Metazoa; Arthropoda; Arachnida; Ixodida; Ixodidae
Exons: 3
Source: RefSeq, a predicted model, not a curated record
UGAGACUCUGCGGAAGUAGGGGCCGACUUUCGGCGCUGGCAUCGUACCCAGCACCUCCGCCAAAUGUCAAGGUGUUUAUUGACAGGAUUGAGAGGUCGAACUCGGUGCGGCAGUCAGAACCCUGCGAGCAGUCAGGACAAGCCCCGUGCGAAACAGCGCUGGUGAUGCGCUUGACUGACCGGCACUUCUUCGUCGUAUUUCAUACACCAGAG